Molecule: ribosomal RNA, 301 nt
Filed under: uncultured bacterium
Lineage: Bacteria
Description: partial 16S ribosomal RNA
Rfam family: Bacterial small subunit ribosomal RNA
Source: RNAcentral
CAGCAGCCGCGGUAAUACGGAGGGUGCAAGCGUUAAUCGGAAUUACUGGGCGUAAAGCGCACGCAGGCGGUCUGACAAGUCGGAUGUGAAAUCCCUGAGCUUAACUUAGGAAUUGCAUUCGAUACUGGGAAGCUAGAGUAUGGGAGAGGAUGGUAGAAUUCCAGGUGUAGCGGUGAAAUGCGUAGAGAUCUGGAGGAAUACCGAUGGCGAAGGCAGCCAUCUGGCCUAAUACUGACGCUGAGGUACGAAAGCAUGGGGAGCAAACAGGAUUAGAUACCCCUGUAGUCCCUGUCUCUUAUAA